GCCCCGGUUAUGCAAGCGGCUUUGGAAGCCAGACAAAAUUACAGCGGGAAGAAAUCGUUGCACGGCUCUGGUGGGAAAAAGAUAUUAUCCUGCGUUGCCAGCGAGACUGGCCGUCGGCAGAGGUGUUCCAGGAUGGGAAUAUUCACAGUCCUGUGUUAUCCAGUGUCAGCAGAGGGAUGGGAACACCUCGGACUGAGGUAGUUCUUCACCUUUUCAGGGUGGCAAGAAUAGCAGCAGUGAGAGAUUUAUCCUUGGGGAGGGGAGGAUGCAGGGGGAUCCAACAGCAGCCAUGCAGUACCUAUGAGGAGGUUAUUGAGAAGACAGCCAGACUCUUCAGAGCAGUGUAUGGUGAGAGGAAGAGAGACAACAGGUAUUAGUCUGAGGACUGUAGAGUUCCCUGGGCU
RNAcentral lists this long non-coding RNA (404 nucleotides) under Manacus vitellinus (golden-collared manakin). Its description in RNAcentral is "lncRNA (ENSMVIG00005018644.1)". The record is from RNAcentral. Lineage: Eukaryota; Metazoa; Chordata; Aves; Passeriformes; Pipridae.